UUUAAGUGCAACCAUGAUUUUCCGCGCUCAACUUUGAUCGUCUGUCUUAUUUGAAUUUUUUUAUAAUUAGUAUUUUUGUUGUUAUGAGAUGAUAAAACAUGAAUAGUACUUUACACGUGACUUACGUUUUUAAUUUUUUUUCAAAAAAAAUUCAAAUAAUACGGACGAUCAAAGUUAGACGCGGAAAGCCAUGGCUGCACUUAAA
Oryza barthii is the source of this 205-nucleotide non-coding RNA. NCBI's taxonomy places the organism in Eukaryota, Viridiplantae, Streptophyta, Magnoliopsida, Poales, Poaceae. The record is from Rfam.